UUUGGGUCGGAGGCGGGCCCCGCGGGGGGGGGGGAGGGGGGGGGGGGGGGAAAAAACGGGGGGUAAUUUUUUAAUUUUUCCUCUUUAAUUUUUUAAGGGGGAUAAGGCCCCGAAAAGAAAUUUUUGGGAUUAAACCCCUUUAAAUAGUUUUUAUUUAAAAGGACAUUUUUUUUUAUGAUUUAAAGGGUUACGGGUUUGGGAAGGGUUAUGCGUUUUUUUAGUUUGUAAGGUGAGGGAACGGGUUUCCCCUAGACUUCGAUAGAUAGGGGGCCCUGAGAGGGGGACCCCCCACAACUGGUACUGAGACCCGGACCAGACUCCUACGGGAGCNAGCAGUAAGGAAUAUUGGUCAAUGGACGAAAGUCUGACCCAGGCAUGCCGCGUGCAGGAUGAAUGNCCUAUGGGUUGUAAACUGCUUUUAUACAGGAAGAAAAACUUCUCGUGAGAAAGCUUGACGGUACUGUAAGAAUAAGGAUCGGCUAACUCCGUGCCAGCAGCCGCGGUAAUACGGAGGAUCCAAGCGUUAUCCGGAAUUAUUGGGUUUAAAGGGUCCGUAGGUGGAUAAUUAAGUCAGAGGUGAAAUCCUGCAGCUUAACUGUAGAAUUGCCUUUGAUACUGGUUAUCUUGAGUUAUUAUGAAGUGAUUAGAAUGUGUAGUGUAGCGGUGAAAUGCAUAGAUAUUACACAGAAUACCAAUUGCGAAGGCAGGUCACUAAUAAUCAACUGACACUGAGGGACGAAAGCGUGGGUAGCGAACAGGAUUAGAUACCCUGGUAGUCCACGCCGUAAACGAUGGUCACUAGCUGUUUGGACUUCGGUCUGAGUGGCUAAGCGAAAGUGAUAAGUGACCCACCUGGGGAGUACGUUCGCAAGAAUGAAACUCAAAGGAAUUGACGGGGGCCCGCACAGGCGGUGGAGCAUGUGGUUUAAUUCGAUGAUACGCGAGGAACCUUACCAGGGCUUAAAUGUUUGGUGACAGAUCUAGAAAUAGGUUUUUCUUCGGACACUAAACAAGGUGCUGCAUGGUUGUCGUCAGCUCGUGCCGUGAGGUGUCAGGUUAAGUCCUAUAACGAGCGCAACCCCUGUUGUUAGUUGCCAGCGAGUAAUGUCGGGAACUCUAACAAGACUGCCAGUGCAAACUGUGAGGAAGGUGGGGAUGACGUCAAAUCAUCACGGCCCUUAUGUCCUGGGCUACACACGUGCUACAAUGGUAGGUACAGAGAGCAGCCAAUGCGCGAGCAUGAGCAAAUCUAUAAAACCUAUCUCAGUUAGUAUCGGAGUGUGCAACUCGCCUCCGUGAAGCUGGAAUCUCUAGUAAUCUUACAUCAUGCAUAGCGAUCCCAGUUACCGC
RNAcentral lists this ribosomal RNA (1350 nucleotides) under uncultured bacterium. Its description in RNAcentral is "bacterial SSU rRNA". It matches the Rfam family "Bacterial small subunit ribosomal RNA", at positions 61 to 1377 of the family's 1533-position model. The record is from RNAcentral.